UCAACUGAAUAUUAUAAAGGUUCUUUACUUAAGUAAAGUGAAAAGGGAAGUCGGUGUAAUUCCGAUGCGGUCCCGCCACUGUAAGUGUGAGUUUUUUCAAAUAAUGCCACUGAAGAUUUCGGGAAGGCUUGAAAAACGCAAUAAGCACGAGCCAGGAGACCUGCCUUUAUAGUAUAGACAUG
RNAcentral lists this non-coding RNA (182 nucleotides) under Lysinibacillus sphaericus. Lineage: Bacteria; Bacillati; Bacillota; Bacilli; Caryophanales; Bacillaceae. The record is from RNAcentral.